Molecule: small nuclear RNA, 20 nt
Filed under: Arabidopsis thaliana (thale cress)
Lineage: Eukaryota; Viridiplantae; Streptophyta; Magnoliopsida; Brassicales; Brassicaceae
Description: snRNA_00666
Source: RNAcentral
CGAUGCGUCCUGGUCGGAUG